AGUCCUUCUGGCUAUACAGUGUGAAGAUCUGAAGGAAAAUAUCUUCAUAGCUGUGUGAACAAUGUGGAAUUAACUGUAAGGUUAAAUAUUUUGAGAGAAAGGUUUAUUUUUUUAGGUCCAUCCUGGAUUAACCAACUAGACUCAAAUAGAUGCAGUGUCUUUUGCUGUAUGUAAAGUCAAAUCUGUAAUUUGAAGUGAUUCAUAUUGUAUGUGCAGUCAUUUUUUGCUAUCUUGAGGCCUAGAUGAUGCAGUCAGAAGGACUAUCACAAAAGUAUUUGGGAAAUGAAAGUUUCCUACAGUAUCUCUGUUUAAAGCUGUUCUGUAUUGUUGUGUAUUUUAAAAAGCUCUAUAAAUGUCCAUGUAAAUGUUCAUUUUGCUUGUAGUUCUGUGUUAAUAAAAAUAUAAUGCAUUA
This is a long non-coding RNA of Rhinichthys klamathensis goyatoka, 412 nucleotides long. RefSeq lists it as uncharacterized. The record is from RefSeq and is a predicted model, not a curated record. NCBI's taxonomy places the organism in Eukaryota, Metazoa, Chordata, Actinopteri, Cypriniformes, Leuciscidae. The transcript is spliced from 2 exons.